GCUGCGCGGGAGCAGGAGGGCGUAGAGGAGCUAUCCCAAGUUGAAGGUCAGGAAGGGCAAAGCAUCAAUAGGAAACUCCUCCCGAGUUUGGUACCUGGAACUGGAGAGCAGGACUGCACCUCGCUCAUCUCCAAAGCGUCGGGAGGUGCAACAUACCAGGGUUUCUUUGGCAGUGAUAAAAAUGUUCUGAAAACAGAAUCAGCAGCUUGAAAGACACCAUGUUCACACAUUCUGCCGGAAUGUCACAUUUGAUAUGGCCACUGGACACGCUUGACUUCUUCUUUAUUUAUGAUUUCUGGCGCUUUUCCUUUGAGGCCGCUCAGAAUAGCUUCUGAUCCUGCUCGCUCACAGAAACGGUGAAAUCAAAUCUUCCUGUGCUCGCCCCAUCGGAGGCCAGUUUGCUUAUGUAAGCUACUCCCGCCCUCACUGAGUAACUGGAUGGUGAGAGCAGAGCCCCGGACAGAUUUCAGAUGAGGCUCUCUUCACAUAAACAUCUCUGACUCGUGUAC
Long non-coding RNA from Bubalus bubalis (water buffalo), 509 nucleotides. RefSeq lists it as uncharacterized. The transcript is spliced from 4 exons. The record is from RefSeq and is a predicted model, not a curated record. Lineage: Eukaryota; Metazoa; Chordata; Mammalia; Artiodactyla; Bovidae.